This 443-nucleotide ribosomal RNA is filed under the name uncultured Rhodospirillaceae bacterium. RNAcentral describes it as "bacterial SSU rRNA". It matches the Rfam family "Bacterial small subunit ribosomal RNA", at positions 336 to 796 of the family's 1533-position model. The record is from RNAcentral. Lineage: Bacteria; Pseudomonadati; Pseudomonadota; Alphaproteobacteria; Rhodospirillales; Rhodospirillaceae.
UUCCUACGGGUGGCUGCAGUGGGGAAUAUUGGACAAUGGGGGAAACCCUGAUCCAGCAAUGCCGCGUGUGUGAAGAAGGCCUUAGGGUUGUAAAGCACUUUCGCCCGCGAAGAUGAUGACGGUAGCGGGAGAAGAAGCCCCGGCUAACUCCGUGCCAGCAGCCGCGGUAAUACGGAGGGGGCUAGCGUUGUUCGGAAUUACUGGGCGUAAAGAGCGCGUAGGCGGCUUAUUGAGUUAGGCGUGAAAGGCCUGGGCUUAACCUGGGAACUGCGCUUAAUACGGAUAGGCUUGAGUCCGGAAGGGGGUGGCGGAAUUCCCAGUGUAGAGGUGAAAUUCGUAGAUAUUGGGAAGAACACCGGUGGCGAAGGCGGCCACCUGGUCCGGAACUGACGCUGAGGUGCGAAAGCGUGGGGAGCAAACAGGAUUAGAUACCCCAGUAGUCC